AUUUAAUAAAUCUUUUAUCGCUAAUUUUAUUUUCUAUUUUUUAUCUUUUUAAUAUCGUUUAUCGUUACAUAUAAUAACUUUAGGCAAAUAUAUAUUUAACAUUAAUUAUUUUUUUGCACAUGUUUAAGCUAUUCGCCAAACUAACAUGUCUUCACUAAUAUUGGCAUAUAUAAUUGUCAAACUGUUAUAAUUCUAGAAGUUGUUAGUUCGAAUGACAUUUGAGAAGAGACUAUAUAAAAUGUUCUGGAGAUGGUAUAUUGUUCCAAAGGAUAUACGGAUAUAAAGCCAUAACUUUUUUUAGACAUUAAAAACAAGAAUAAAAAAUUUGUCAAACCAUUGGUCCGCUGGUUUCACUCCAUCACCAAAUGACAAAUGAUUCAAGUGAUAUCAUGUGUCCAAACUUUAGGUUAACACAGAACAAUGAGAAAUCUUUAACCGAAUUCUAAACUCAUGAUACAUGAACUUGUCUCCAAUUCCACAUUAUGCAUCAUAAAAUGGUUUGUUAAUCGUUAUCCUACAAAACAACCUAAAAGCUAUAAACACUUGAAAAAUUUUAAAAAAGUAAAGACUUUUUUGACUCAUAAAAGGACUAAUACCAAAUUUCAUAGUUCCAAUUUUGAACAAAAAAACACAAAAAACACAUGAGAAAUAAUAACUUAAAAAAUCUAAGAACAUAUGUUGCCUCAUAAAAAGACCGAUACAAACGUUAGAAACCGCCAAACCGGUAACAUAUUGUACAUCAGCUACCAGAUCGUUGAUUAAGAAUUAAGAUACCGGUAUAGUCGAUGUAGCCUGCCUAUACAGACUCAUAAUCGACCUGAACCCCUUAUUAUGUGCAAUCUAAAACAAGUGUUUUAAAUCAAAAGACUAACUACAACAAUUUUUUUAAUCUAAUAAUACAUUUGUUGUUUGCUAUUAUAAUAUAAGUAUUUGAUUAAUAAAAUACGAAAUAGAGAUUCGUAUCCACUAAAACUAGUAAUAUAAGUUGUGGGAAUAUCCUCCCUUUUAAGUAUUUCAAAGGGCACUACAAAUUUUGUCUUUACAAAACAACCAAAGUGGAUAAAUAACUCCAUGAGGCACUUCAAAAGUUUCCAUACAUUAGUUUAUUUGUACUUGUUUCUUACGAAAUCCCUGUCUUCAUGGGAGAUUCACUUAUGUGAUAUAGUUUCAUUUCUAAUUAAGAUAUUCAUUAUUGUUUGCAGUACCCUAUAAACUAAUCAAAUGAUGAUUAAAAUUCAUUAAAAAAAAAAAAAAGAGUGAUUAAACAAGAAUGAAACGUGGGUUAUGAUCCUUAGAAAUGAACUACAUUAUGGAUUAGUGUAUUAAUUUAUCUAUUUCUUAGAUAUAAACUAACCAAGGAAUUACACAGCACCUUUUUUCUUAACGUGGCAGCUUACAAGAACUGAGAAAGAUUUGGUUAGGAGACACAUGCCAAGAAUCACUCAUGUUGGAGUUUUAAUAAUUUAACACGUACAACUCCAAAAUUUUAAUGAGCGAUAGGGGGUACUUAAUUACUUCCUAGGAUUGAAGAGCCAAUUACUUGUUAUUUAUUCUGUCAAAUUGCUAAUUCUUAUUGAGGUUUCCACGUGUAUACAGAAUAUUUGACAUUAAUGCACUGUAGCUAAAACAUUAUGGAGUUAAUAAUAUUAAUAGUAAUUUUCGAAAAAGGUUUCAAACCCAGUUAUUUGAUAUAUUGUGAAGAAAGGUCUCACAUCAGAGAUGAAAAUGGAUUUGAGUAAUACAUAAAAGACAUGAGUUAAUUUAUUUAUUGCCAAAUUGAUUUAGAAUUGGAACCCCAUAACAAAUUAACAUGAUAUCAAAACAUGAAUACAUGUUGAUCCGUUAAUACGGUCCAAACAAUAGCUCGAUCACUCCAUGUAUGAAUGGUUCAACGAAAGCUCUAUUCCGUCGAAAUAAGUAAAAAUGCAUUUACAUGUUUGAUGCUCCACCUAAAAGGAUAUUUGUAGUAAGAAUUAGGUUAUAUAUCGAAUUGUUCAAGUUAAGUCGGAUUUUUUCUAAUAUUUUGAGAAACUGGAACGUCAGUUAAUCGUGCAUUUGUAGUAAGAACACAUACUUUUAGGAUUUUAGCUUCUCUUUUCAUUUUGUCUUGGAUUUAAUAUACUUCGCCUCGUUAACUGAAUAAGAGUAUAUAUAAUUUUAGAGUACAUAUAUUAUAACUUCUAAUGUAUGUAAUGAGGCAGCAAUAAUUGAAGUUGAUGAGAUAAAAACUGCAGAUAAUAUUAAGUAUCAUAUAUAUGUAGUAAACUAAAGUAUCAAUGUAGUCACAUGCAUUUGUACCUUAUAUCAGCCAAAUUCAGGAGAUUCUGUCUCCUCGACGGAGAUUAUGAAACACAUCUAAUAUAGUAAUUAUUAACAAAGCGAGGUAACCAUUUGACUAAUUAAGAAUCAUUAUAAUAUAUACUAUUUGACUAUAGAGCGGCCUCAAAAGGCCAGGCCAAACACUGAAGGCUAUAUCAGUUUUGGGACAAUGGAAGCGACGACGAGAUUUUUUAGAGAAUGGCACAAGUUACAUGAAAAGCUAAUCGACUAAGAGAAAACCCAAUAUUUCAGGAGCAAAAGUUGUGUGUAAAAUCGUACACGAAUACUCUAAUUUAUGUGUGGAAAAAUGUUUCACAACUGCAUUUAACUGUAUAUAUAACUAAAAUGUAGAUUUAUUUACCCCAAUCUAUCGAAAACUUAUACAAUUAACCAUAUUUAACUAAUAUAUAGUAAUUCAAUAAAUGAAUGAUCUAAUAAAAGUUAUUCGUAACACAUGUGAAACUGAAAAUAGCAUGGCUUAGAAAAUAAUUCCUAAAUCCUGAUGAUCUAUGAGAUUUUCUAUCAAUGUAAACUUUUUUAGUCUUUGGAUGAAAAUAAAACCAAUAAAUAAGUAACAAAAUGCCUUAGACAUAGAUGGUCGAAGCGCGCAAUACUGGUAUACAAGUUAUGAGUAUGAAAAAAAAAGAAAAAAAAAAUAUUAUGCAACUGAAUACUUUUCUAUUUGUUAACAGAAAUAUCGUCAAUUAUUGUGUAUGCAUGCCUCUUCAUCCAACAAGCAAUUAUUUCAAUUUUACAACAUCCAACUUUUUUGUCAGACAAAAUAAAUCUUGGCACCACAUCUGAUCCUGAACAAACAAUACUUAGAUAAUAUACAAGGUCUGGUCAGCAUGUAGUUGCUGUCGAUGUAAACAAUUUAUUCUAAGAAAAAAGAACGUAACCCGUAAAACAUACGGAUUCAAAUGAGCUGAAAAACGUGAUGAUGUCAAGAAAAACAAUCGAUUAGCCACAUUACACAAAUUAACUCAAAAUGUACACACGAAAACGCCUAUUGAAAAAUUAGGAAGUCAAAUGAGUAUACAGUGAGCUCACCAAUAAGUGAUUAUAAUCGAUCACAAUUCUCGAUACUUGACACUUUUGAGCAAUAUUGAACAAACUUGUAAAUCCUUGAUGAUGAAAGAAGUAAAGUCUAGAUACAUUAUUUUCAUAGUUUUGAGAAAGAAAGAAAAAGAGUCUCAAUAGAUCCUAAAAUCAUGGUUGAGCAGUAUAUAUACUUGGGGUUUUGAAUCAUUAUUUGCUAUUUUGGGGUUGAAAUUUAUUUGGCGAUUUAUUGGUUAGAGGGCAUUUGAUGCAAAUUGGCUUAAUUAGA
RNAcentral lists this long non-coding RNA (3646 nucleotides) under Arabidopsis thaliana (thale cress). RNAcentral's name for it is "long non-coding RNA (ATHA_LNC000483)". Lineage: Eukaryota; Viridiplantae; Streptophyta; Magnoliopsida; Brassicales; Brassicaceae. The record is from RNAcentral.